UACAGGGGGGGCAAGCGUUGUUCGGAAUUACUGGGCGUAAAGGGCUCGUAGGUGGCCAACUAAGUCAGACGUGAAAUCCCUCAGCUUAACUGGGGAACUGCGUCUGAUACUGGAUGGCUCGAGUGCAGGAGAGGAACGCGGAAUUCCAGGUGUAGCGGUGAAAUGCGUAGAUAUCUGGAGGAACACCGGUGGCGAAGGCGGCGUUCUGGACUGCAACUGACACUGAGGAACGAAAGCCAGGGGAGCAAACGGG
RNAcentral lists this ribosomal RNA (253 nucleotides) under uncultured bacterium. RNAcentral describes it as "partial 16S ribosomal RNA". It matches the Rfam family "Bacterial small subunit ribosomal RNA", at positions 524 to 776 of the family's 1533-position model. The record is from RNAcentral.